Molecule: ribosomal RNA, 468 nt
Filed under: uncultured bacterium
Lineage: Bacteria
Description: partial 16S ribosomal RNA
Rfam family: Bacterial small subunit ribosomal RNA
Source: RNAcentral
GACGAACGCUGGCGGCGUGCUUAACACAUGCAAGUCGAACGGUGAAGCUCCAGCUUGCUGGAGUGGAUCAGUGGCGAAAGGGUGAGUAACACGGGAGCAACCUGCCCCUGACUCUGGAAUAAGCGCGGGAAACGGCGUCUAAUACUGGAUACGAGAAGGGUCCGCAUGGGCACUUUCUGGAAAGUUUUUCGGUGGGGGAUGGGCUCGCGGCCUAUCAGCUUGUUGGUGAGGUAAUGGCUCACCAAGGCGACGACGGGUAGCCGGCCUGAGAGGGCGACCGGCCACACUGGGACUGAGACACGGCCCAGACUCCUACGGGAGGCAGCAGUGGGGAAUAUUGCCCAAUGGGCGAAAGCCUGAUGCAGCGACGCCGCGUGAGGGAUGACGGCCUUCGGGUUGUAAACCUCUUUCAGCAGGGAAGAAGCGAAAGUGACGGUACCUGCAGAAGAAGCACCGGCUAACUACGUG